This is a long non-coding RNA of Octopus sinensis (East Asian common octopus), 462 nucleotides long. RefSeq lists it as uncharacterized. Lineage: Eukaryota; Metazoa; Mollusca; Cephalopoda; Octopoda; Octopodidae. The record is from RefSeq and is a predicted model, not a curated record. The transcript has 3 exons.
UGAUAAUCAAAUUUUGAAAAUUGAGGACGUCGACAAUUAUAAGCAAAGUAUUGAUGCGGAUCAAGAGAGUGGAAGAUGGGACCAAUGCAGUGUAUCGUCUUACUACUCUGCUGAGAAAAUGGAAGAGAUCAUGGAUUCUCUUAAAUUGUUAGAAAAAGAAGAAGAAUUUCCACAAUUUGAAUCGAAAACACACAAAAGUGAAAAAUUGUUUGGAGAAUCUUCAAAUCAAGAAAUCGAGGACAAAUUAAACAAGGUCAUCCUAUUUUUGAACGAAUCUGAAAAAAACGAACGUCUCGGUCAACUUAACCAGGAAUUAGUAAAACGAAACCAAAACUUACAUCAAGAAAUAACUAGCAAUGCAAUGCAUGAAAAUGACUUACGAAUACAACAUGCAUCACACGCUGCUACUCAACUUUCCGAAUACUUGGCGAGGCAACUACACGAAAAUCAGGAGAAGGAAUC